UGGGGAAGUAUUGCGCAAUGGGCGAAAGCCUGACGCAGCGACGCCGCGUGAGGGAUGAAGGUCUUCGGAUCGUAAACCUCUGUCAGCAGGGAAGAACGGUCACUGUGCUAAUCAGCAGUGAAUUGACGGUACCUGCAAAGGAAGCACCGGCUAACUCCGUGCC
RNAcentral lists this ribosomal RNA (163 nucleotides) under uncultured bacterium. RNAcentral's name for it is "partial 16S ribosomal RNA". It matches the Rfam family "Bacterial small subunit ribosomal RNA", at positions 355 to 509 of the family's 1533-position model. The record is from RNAcentral.